UUUUGCUUCUUAUAGUUUCAUUUCUGUUUAUAUCACCAAACUUCUAUGUUGUCUUAUUUUUCAGUAAGAGCCCUUAACAUAUCAAUCACAGUUACUUUAGAUUCUUAUUUGAUCAUUUCAGCCUCUGUGUUUUGAGUCUGGUUCCACUAAUUGCUUUGUCUCUUCAGACUGUCUUUUGCCCUCACCAUACGGCAUGCAUUAUAAUAUUUUUUGUUUAAUUGUAUCUGAUAUUAGGGAUUGAGAUAAAUAGGGUUUUAGUGUGAUAUUUAUUUUAAUCUGUCUAGGAGUUGUGUUCUGUUUAAUGUUUACUGUUGAUAGAGGUAUCAGAAGUGUCAAAUUCCUUUACUGUGUUUUUUUGUCUCUUCUUUUUACUCUGGACUUCCUCAACUUCUCUUCUGAGAGAGUUGUUAUUUUCCAGCUCUUUCAACUGUAAUCCACUGUUACUUUAUUGAAAACUGUGGGAUGGUAAGAUGCAGGGGAGGAACUGGUGAGAUGUUUUAAUUAAGUCUGUAUCUUGUAGUUGUGAACUUCACAAGUAUUUCUCCAGUAUCAUAGCUGUUUUUUUCCUUGACCCCUACUCUUUUGUCUGACUCUAGUGUUACCCAUCUAUGUCCUCAAAGCACUAAACUGUAUUGAUGUGUGUGUGUGUAUGUGUGUGUGUGUGUGUGUGUGUGUGUUUGUAAGAUAGGGUUCCUUGAGUAAGCUGGAGUAAGGGGAAUACCCUUCCCCCAACUGGAAUAGAUUUGUCCAAGUCCUUCCCCUGAAUAUUAGGCCUUUGUUGUGGAGAAUUCUUGGGAUGUAUUGAUUCAUCUUCUCCCCUUUGCAGAAUCAUGAGGGGGUCUUUCUCAAAUAUUUGCCAUGAAAAAUAUGUGAGCUUCUUUAUGGUAAAGACCAUAGACAUGAGGGAGUUCCUAGGAGUUUCCCUCCUUUCAUUCUAGUCCACAUCAGUUCAGCUAUGUAUCUAAAUUGCCAUUGAAGUGUUUCUACUGGUUUGUGGCUUCUAUUUUGGCAAAGCAGAUCUCACUCAUAUUUCAAUGGGUGACUGUCCACAUUUUGGAGUGACAGUCUACCCCACAUCCUUAGGUCUCUGAUUGAUUCCUCAGUUGUUCCACCUUUAACUUAUUCCAAGGGCAGAAAUGGUGACUUCCAGGUCUUUACAUGUCAGAGUUAAAAUCAGAAGUCUUAAAUUUUUUUAAUAUAAAAGAAAAACUUUCAUUACUUUAAGUACACCCAAAAUAGUUCUGAUGCAUUUUUAAAAAUAGCUCAUUUAAUUAUGAUUUAUUGUUAUUGCAUUUAGAAUGCUUGCUCCUGCAUUCAUAGUAGCCAUAUUUUAUAAAUUUAUUUUUAGGGACACCUGAGGUGGCUGCCUUCAGCUCAGGUCAUGAUCCUGGGAUCUGGGAUUGAGUCCCGCAUCAGAUUCCUGUGAGGAGCCUGCUUCUUUCUCUGCCUGCCUCUCUCUCUGUCUCUCAUGAAUAAAUAAAUAAAUAUUUAAAAAAUAAAUAAAUUUAUUUUUAACAGUAUCAUUUCCUGGUUUAGUUACUAUAAUUAAGCUAGUCUGAGAAAGUGAUAGUUAAAAUAUACUUAAACACUCAUAAAAUUCACUAGUAAUAGUAUUUAUGUCUGGAAUAUUCUUGUUUGGAAAUAUGUUCAUUAUGGAUUCCAUGCUUUAGCAGAUAUAGAACAAUUUAUAUUUUCCAUUUUUUACAGUUUUUAUUUAAAUUUCAGUUAGUUAACAUAUAGUAUAAUAUUGAUUUCAGGUGUACAAUUUAGUGAUUCAAAAGUUACAUACAGCACCCAGUGCCCAUCAGAACAAGUGUAUGCCUUAAUUUUUUAAUCCAUCCCCUUAUCCAUCUCCCCUCCAAUAGCCACCAGUUUGCUUUCUUCCUUUUUGUGUGUGAUUUUUUCACUGGUUGUGUUUUUCAGGAUUUCCCCAUUUUAUUAAUAAUUUUUAAAUGAUUGGCAAAAAAUUACUCUUCAAAUGUACUUCAUGUUUAAAAAAAAUUAUGUUAGGAGAUUUUCCAGCAACCUACAAAGGCAAAUAGAGCAUCUAGAUGACUAUGAGCAUUUUUAUACAUUCCCCAUACAUUGCCAGGUUUUGAUAAUAAGAUGAAAAUGCUACCUUGACUAAAGGAUAAUUUCUACAUGUACAAAAGUAUCUGCAAAUUCUACUCUUACCUGAACAAUAGGAUUUCCCAGUACUCAGGAAGUUGCAAAAAGGUCAAAAAUGAUUUUUAGAUAAAUAUCCAUUAUUAGCAAAUACUACUUUAACUGACCUGUUAUAUAGUUCUUUCAAUUAACUCCAUUUGGCUUUAAUCAAAUAAAGUCCAUCCAAUCAUCUUAAUUUUACCUAACUAAAAUACUACUUAUUAUAAAUUUAACCUAAAUUCCACCCUUUAUCAAAAUUCUCUAUAACAUUGCUUCUUUCUGUAUAGCCAGGGCAAGAUGGCGGAAGAGUAGUUUCCCCAA
This 2466-nucleotide long non-coding RNA is filed under the name Canis lupus familiaris (dog). RNAcentral's name for it is "lncRNA (ENSCAFG00000058913.1)". The record is from RNAcentral. Lineage: Eukaryota; Metazoa; Chordata; Mammalia; Carnivora; Canidae.